CCUACGGGUGGCAGCAGUAGGGAAUCUUCGGCAAUGGACGGAAGUCUGACCGAGCAACGCCGCGUGAGUGAAGAAGGUUUUCGGAUCGUAAAGCUCUGUUGUAAGAGAAGAACGAGUGUGAGAGUGGAAAGUUCACACUGUGACGGUAUCUUACCAGAAAGGGACGGCUAACUACGUGCCAGCAGCCGCGGUAAUACGUAGGUCCCGAGCGUUGUCCGGAUUUAUUGGGCGUAAAGCGAGCGCAGGCGGGUAGAUAAGUCUGAAGUUAAAGGCUGUGGCUUAACCAUAGUACGCUUUGGAAACUGUUUAACUUGAGUGCAAGAGGGGAGAGUGGAAUUCCAUGUGUAGCGGUGAAAUGCGUAGAUAUAUGGAGGAACACCGGUGGCGAAAGCGGCUCUCUGGCUUGUAACUGACGCUGAGGCUCGAAAGCGUGGGGAGCAAACAGGAUUAGAUACCCGUGUAGUC
This 465-nucleotide ribosomal RNA is filed under the name uncultured Streptococcus sp. RNAcentral's name for it is "bacterial SSU rRNA". It matches the Rfam family "Bacterial small subunit ribosomal RNA", at positions 338 to 795 of the family's 1533-position model. The record is from RNAcentral. Lineage: Bacteria; Bacillati; Bacillota; Bacilli; Lactobacillales; Streptococcaceae.